Cyanistes caeruleus (blue tit) is the source of this 330-nucleotide non-coding RNA. The record is from RefSeq and is a predicted model, not a curated record. NCBI's taxonomy places the organism in Eukaryota, Metazoa, Chordata, Aves, Passeriformes, Paridae.
CUGCUGGAGAAAGAAGAAAGGGCACAGAAAGGCAUGAGCCCUGCAGAUGGAGUUUCCUCCCAUGGAUUUUGCAUGUUGUAUAAAAUUCAACAUUUUACAGGAUGCCAAAGUUGUAAGGGUCCCAAAUGGAUUAAGUAGAGUGCUAGUCUCCUGUCACCCCCUACAGAAAACAAAUCUCUGCAAGGAGGAGAGAUGCAAGUCUGCCUGUGGGUCAAAUGGUGCUUUUCAUGGCAAAAAGACAAUUGGAUACCCAGAAGAAUGUCAGUCACCAGUGACCAUGGGGCCUGGAAGGGAAUCUGACCUUAGGAAUAAAAGAGAGAGAGACAUUUC